This is a long non-coding RNA of Dipodomys spectabilis (banner-tailed kangaroo rat), 119 nucleotides long. RefSeq lists it as uncharacterized. The record is from RefSeq and is a predicted model, not a curated record. The transcript has 4 exons. NCBI's taxonomy places the organism in Eukaryota, Metazoa, Chordata, Mammalia, Rodentia, Heteromyidae.
AUUUUUUUAAAAAAAUAAGAAUUCCAGGGCUGAGAAUAUGGCCCAGUUGUAGAGUGCUUGCCUAGCAUGCAUGAAGCUUUGGGUUCAGUUCCUCAGCACCAUAUAAACAGAAAAUGCUG